Molecule: ribosomal RNA, 1343 nt
Filed under: uncultured bacterium
Lineage: Bacteria
Description: 16S ribosomal RNA
Rfam family: Bacterial small subunit ribosomal RNA
Source: RNAcentral
GACGAACGCUGGCGGCGUGCUUAACACAUGCAAGUCGAACGGAAAGGCCCUGCUUUUGUGGGGUGCUCGAGUGGCGAACGGGUGAGUAACACGUGAGUAACCUGCCCUUGACUUUGGGAUAACUUCAGGAAACUGGGGCUAAUACCGGAUAGGAGCUCCUGCUGCAUGGUGGGGGUUGGAAAGUUUCGGCGGUUGGGGAUGGACUCGCGGCUUAUCAGCUUGUUGGUGGGGUAGUGGCUUACCAAGGCUUUGACGGGUAGCCGGCCUGAGAGGGUGACCGGCCACAUUGGGACUGAGAUACGGCCCAGACUCCUACGGGAGGCAGCAGUGGGGAAUAUUGCACAAUGGGCGGAAGCCUGAUGCAGCAACGCCGCGUGCGGGAUGACGGCCUUCGGGUUGUAAACCGCUUUCGCCUGUGACGAAGCGUGAGUGACGGUAAUGGGUAAAGAAGCACCGGCUAACUACGUGCCAGCAGCCGCGGUGAUACGUAGGGUGCGAGCGUUGUCCGGAUUUAUUGGGCGUAAAGGGCUCGUAGGUGGUUGAUCGCGUCGGAAGUGUAAUCUUGGGGCUUAACCCUGAGCGUGCUUUCGAUACGGGUUGACUUGAGGAAGGUAGGGGAGAAUGGAAUUCCUGGUGGAGCGGUGGAAUGCGCAGAUAUCAGGAGGAACACCAGUGGCGAAGGCGGUUCUCUGGGCCUUUCCUGACGCUGAGGAGCGAAAGCGUGGGGAGCGAACAGGCUUAGAUACCCUGGUAGUCCACGCUGUAAACGGUGGGUACUAGGUGUGGGGUCCAUUCCACGGGUUCCGUGCCGUAGCUAACGCUUUAAGUACCCCGCCUGGGGAGUACGGCCGCAAGGCUAAAACUCAAAGGAAUUGACGGGGCCCCGCACAAGCGGCGGAGCAUGCGGAUUAAUUCGAUGCAACGCGUAGAACCUUACCUGGGUUUGACAUGGAUCGGGAGUGCUCAGAGAUGGGUGUGCCUCUUUUGGGGUCGGUUCACAGGUGGUGCAUGCCUGUCGUCAGCUCGUGUCGUGAGAUGUUGGGUUAAGUCCCGCAACGAGCGCAACCCUUGUUCACUGUUGCCAGCACGUUAUGGUGGGGACUCAGUGGAGACCGCCGGGGUCAACUCGGAGGAAGGUGGGGAUGACGUCAAGUCCUCAUGCCCCUUAUGUCCAGGGCUUCACGCAUGCUACAAUGGCUGGUACAGAGAGUGGCGAGCCUGUGAGGGUGAGCGAAUCUCGGAAAGCCGGUCUCAGUUCGGAUUGGGGUCUGCAACUCGACCUCAUGAAGUCGGAGUCGCUAGCAAUCGCAGAUCAGCAAUGCUGCGGUGAAUACGUUCCCGGG